This 1034-nucleotide ribosomal RNA is filed under the name Bacillus subtilis. RNAcentral's name for it is "bacterial SSU rRNA". It matches the Rfam family "Bacterial small subunit ribosomal RNA", at positions 33 to 1048 of the family's 1533-position model. Lineage: Bacteria; Bacillati; Bacillota; Bacilli; Caryophanales; Bacillaceae. The record is from RNAcentral.
ACGCUGGCGGCGUGCUUUACAUGCAAGUCGAGCGGACAGAUGGGAGCUUGCUCCCUGAUGUUAGCGGCGGACGGGUGAGUAACACGUGGGUAACCUGCCUGUAAGACUGGGAUAACUCCGGGAAACCGGGGCUAAUACCGGAUGGUUGUUUGAACCGCAUGGUUCAAACAUAAAAGGUGGCUUCGGCUACCACUUACAGAUGGACCCGCGGCGCAUUAGCUAGUUGGGGAGGUAAGGGCUCACCAAGGCAACGAUGCGUAGCCGACCUGAAAGGGUGAUCGGCCACACUGGGACUGAGACACGGCCCAGACUCCUACGGGAGGCAGCAGUAGGGAAUCUUCCGCAAUGGACGAAAGUCUGACGGAGCAACGCCGCGUGAGUGAUGAAGGUUUUCGGAUCGUAAAGCUCUGUUGUUAGGGAAGAACAAGUACCGUUCAAAUAGGGCGGUACCUUGACGGUACCUAACCAGAAAGCCACGGUUAACUACGUGCCAGCAGCCGCGGUAAUACGUAGGUGGCAAGCGUUGUCCGGAAUUAUUGGGCGUAAAGGGCUCGCAGGCGGUUUCUUAAGUCUGAUGUGAAAGCCCCCGGCUCAACCGGGGAGGGUCAUUGGAAACUGGGGAACUUGAGUGCAGAAGAGGAGAGUGGAAUUCCACGUGUAGCGGUGAAAUGCGUAGAGAUGUGGAGGAACACCAGUGGCGAAGGCGACUCUCUGGUCUGUAACUGACGCUGAGGAGCGAAAGCGUGGGGAGCGAACAGGAUUAGAUACCCUGGUAGUCCACGCCGUAAACGAUGAGUGCUAAGUGUUAGGGGGUUUCCGCCCCUUAGUGCUGCAGCUAACGCAUUAAGCACUCCGCCUGGGGAGUACGGUCGCAAGACUGAAACUCAAAGGAAUUGACGGGGGCCCGCACAAGCGGUGGAGCAUGUGGUUUAAUUCGAAGCAACGCGAAGAACCUUACCAGGUCUUGACAUCCUCUGACAAUCCUAAAAAAUAGGACGUCCCCUUCGGGGGCAAAAUGACAGGGGGGGGCAUGG